RNAcentral lists this ribosomal RNA (1306 nucleotides) under uncultured bacterium. RNAcentral describes it as "bacterial SSU rRNA". It matches the Rfam family "Bacterial small subunit ribosomal RNA", at positions 28 to 1381 of the family's 1533-position model. The record is from RNAcentral.
AACGUACGCUGGCGGCACGCCUAACACAUGCAAGUCGAACGAAGUAGCAAUACUCAGUGGCAGACGGGUGAGUAACAUGUAGGUAUCUGCCCUUUGGCCUGGAAUAACACGAGGAAACUUGUGCUAAUACCGGAUAAGUCUUUACGGAGAAAGCUUUAUGCACCAUUGGAUGAGCCUGCACUUGAUUAGUUUGUUGGUGGGGUAAUGGCCUACCAAGACUGUGAUCAAUAGCUGAUUUGAGAGGAUGAUCAGCCACAUUGGGACUGAGACACGGCCCAAACUCCUACGGGAGGCAGCAGUGGGGAAUCUUGCACAAUGGAGGAAACUCUGAUGCAGCGAUGCCGCGUGAGUGAAGAAGGCCCUUGGGUUGUAAAGCUCUUUCGUCGGGGAAGAAAAUGACUGUACCCGAAUAAGAAGGUCCGGCUAACUUCGUGCCAGCAGCCGCGGUAAUACGAAGGAACCUAGCGUAGUUCGGAAUUACUGGGCUUAAAGAGUUCGUAGGUGGUUGAAAAAGUUAGUGGUGAAAUCCCAGAGCUUAACUCUGGAACUGCCAUUAAAACUUUUCAGCUAGAGUAUGAUAGAGGAAAGCAGAAUUUCUAGUGUAGAGGUGAAAUUCGUAGAUAUUAGAAAGAAUACCAAUUGCGAAGGCAGCUUUCUGGAUCAUUACUGACACUGAGGAACGAAAGCAUGGGUAGCGAAGAGGAUUAGAUACCCUCGUAGUCCAUGCCGUAAACGAUGUGUGUUAGACGUUGGAAAUUUAUUUUCAGUGUCGCAGGGAAACCGAUAAACACACCGCCUGGGGAGUACGACCGCAAGGUUAAAACUCAAAUGAAUUGACGGGGACCCGCACAAGUAGUGGAGCAUGUGGUUUAAUUCGAAGAUACGCGCAGAACCUUACCAACACUUGACAUGUUCGUCGCGACUCUAAGAGAUUAGAGUUUUCGGUUCGGCCGGACGAAACACAGGUGCUGCAUGGCUGUCGUCAGCUCGUGUCGUGAGAUGUUGGGUUAAGUCCCGCAACGAGCGCAACCCUCACUUUUAGUUGCCAUCAUUAAGUUGGGCACUCUGAAAGAACUGCCAGUGAUAAGCUGGAGGAAGGUGGGGAUGACGUCAAGUCCUCAUGGCCCUUACGUGUUGGGCUACACACGUGCUACAAUGGUAUCUACAACAGGAAGCAAGACUGCGAAGUUAAGCAAAUCCCUAAAAGAUACCUCAGUUCGGAUUGCACUCUGCAACUCGAGUGCAUGAAGCUGGAAUUACUAGUAAUCGUGGAUCAGCGUGCCACGGUGAAUGCGUUCCCGGGUCU